Non-coding RNA from Flavobacteriales bacterium BRH_c54, 251 nucleotides. The record is from Rfam. Lineage: Bacteria; Pseudomonadati; Bacteroidota; Flavobacteriia; Flavobacteriales.
UUGAGAGGAUCUGACUCUAGUACGAGAGGACCGAGUUGGACGAACCUCUGGUGUAUCUGUUGUGGCGCCAGCUGCAUUGCAGAGUAGCUACGUUUGGAUUGGAUAAGCACUGAAAGCAUAUAAGUGCGAAGCCGACCUCAAGAUGAGAUUUCCCUUAAGGGUCGUUGAAGAUGACAACGUUGAUAGGUUGCAGAUGUAAAGGCAGUAAUGUCAAAGUCGAGCAAUACUAAUUACCCUAGCGCUUUUAAACU